RNAcentral lists this ribosomal RNA (492 nucleotides) under uncultured bacterium. RNAcentral's name for it is "partial 16S ribosomal RNA". It matches the Rfam family "Bacterial small subunit ribosomal RNA", at positions 29 to 507 of the family's 1533-position model. The record is from RNAcentral.
AGUGAACGCUGGCGGUAGGCCUAACACAUGCAAGUCGAACGGCAGCACAGUAAGAGCUUGCUCUUACGGGUGGCGAGUGGCGGACGGGUGAGGAAUACAUCGGAAUCUACUUUUUCGUGGGGGAUAACGUAGGGAAACUUACGCUAAUACCGCAUACGACCUACGGGUGAAAGCAGGGGAUCUUCGGACCUUGCGCGAUUGAAUGAGCCGAUGUCGGAUUAGCUAGUUGGCGGGGUAAAGGCCCACCGAGGCGACGAUCCGUAGCUGGUCUGAGAGGAUGAUCAGCCACACUGGAACUGAGACACGGUCCAGACUCCUACGGGAGGCAGCAGUGGGGAAUAGUGGACAAUGGGCGCAAGCCUGAUCCAGCCAUACCGCGUGGGUGAAGAAGGCCUUCGGGUUGUAAAGCCCUUUUGUUGGGAAAGAAAAGCAGCAGGUUAAUACCCCGCUGUUCUGACGGUACCCAAAGAAUAAGCACCGGCUAACUUCGUG